Molecule: long non-coding RNA, 323 nt
Filed under: Lathyrus oleraceus (garden pea)
Lineage: Eukaryota; Viridiplantae; Streptophyta; Magnoliopsida; Fabales; Fabaceae
Description: Pisum sativum (pea) long non-coding RNA (PSAT_LNC004696)
Source: RNAcentral
UUUGUUAUUGUUGUUAUGUGAUGUUGAGAGGUUGUUGUUGAUAGGUUUAUCAUGUGUGGAUUGAGAAGAAUGAAGGUGGAUGUUUAUGGUGUUGUUAUGGAAGGAAUUUAUGGAGAAGGUGAGUGUGGAUGAAUGAAGAAGACAAGAAGAUGAAGUUUGUGUGAUUUUCUCGUAUAAGCUUUUCUUGGAGGGUUGGUAGUUCUUUACUGAAUUUUUGUGACUCUCAACUUUUUGUGAAUAAUGGAGGCUCUCAGAGUGUGUAAUGGUGGCUUUAAUUUUGCUGAAUGAUUGUUGAAUUUUUCUUAUCACCUCUCUUAGCAUUU